This 254-nucleotide ribosomal RNA is filed under the name uncultured bacterium. RNAcentral's name for it is "partial 16S ribosomal RNA". It matches the Rfam family "Archaeal small subunit ribosomal RNA", at positions 474 to 727 of the family's 1478-position model. The record is from RNAcentral.
CCCAGGAACCACAAGUGGCAACCGCUUUUAUUGGGCCUAAAGCGUCCGUAGCCUGUUAAAUAAAUUUCCUGUGAAAUCGUUAAGCUUAACUUAAUGGCAUGCAGGAAACACUGUUUAACUAGGGACCGGGAGGCGUCAGAGGUAUUCUGGAGGGAGCGGUAAAAUGCUAUAAUCUCCGGAGGACCCCCUGUGGCGAAGGCGUCUGACGAGAACGGAUCCGACGGUGAGGGACGAAAGCCAGGGGAGCGAACCGG